This 119-nucleotide ribosomal RNA is filed under the name Pteropus alecto (black flying fox). RNAcentral also lists the same sequence under 1 other name. The record is from RNAcentral. Lineage: Eukaryota; Metazoa; Chordata; Mammalia; Chiroptera; Pteropodidae.
AUCUACCGCCAUAUUACCUUGAACAAGCCCAAUCCCAUCUGAUCUUAGAAGCUAAGCAGCGUUGGGCCUUGUUAGUACUUGGAUGGGAGACCACCUAGGAAGACCAGGUGCUGUAGGCC